This 71-nucleotide transfer RNA is filed under the name Stegodyphus mimosarum. It matches the Rfam family "tRNA". From Rfam's summary of the family: Transfer RNA (tRNA) molecules are approximately 80 nucleotides in length. Their secondary structure includes four short double-helical elements and three loops (D, anti-codon, and T loops). The record is from Rfam by way of RNAcentral. Lineage: Eukaryota; Metazoa; Arthropoda; Arachnida; Araneae; Eresidae.
GUCUUCGUGGUGUAACGGUAGCAUACUCGGCACGUAUUCGAGAGGUCCAGGUUCGAAUCCCGGCGAGAGCA